UAUAGAGUUAAAUCUAUAUUGUGCAGUAAUUGCAACACUUGAUAUAGCUGUUAGGAAUAAUGAAUCAUGACAAAGAUGCACCAGGCAGUGGAUGAAAAGAGUGAAUAACAAACAACCUUGUGACAACAUGUGUACAUGAAUUAUGGCUGCUCUGUUUCAGGAGAACAGAAAGAAUAUGACUGGUGUGGGAACCAUCAAGAAAGGUUUUAACAGUAUGAAGAGAAAUUGUCCUAACUGUUCCUUAGAAGAGGAACAAGAAAGCAUUUGUAUUGUAGGUUUGUGGUGUGCCUGUCUGUGACACUCAUGUGCAGUCUUUUGAGGCAUCCUGGCUUUAGAAAGGAAAUUUAAGGAAUGCUCUGUUUGGAAGAAUCUCAUGUUGUGGUGUGUUCCUGCAACUUGGAUAUCUUUCACAGGAGUGCUUAUGAGACCUGGGCAUAUGUGUGCUGCUGUGAACAGAGUGCUACCAUGUGGGAGACUGAUCCUUCAUUGAGGACUUACAGCUCUCUUAGCUACCAAAAUAAAAACCCAAACCAAAAUAAGAAUAAAAAGAAAGAAAAGUGUGCAUGUGGGAAUAGUUCCAGUCUCCAGAAUAAACUUACAAUGAAGGAUGGUUUCUUUACCAUCCCCUGGCUGUGGUGUUCUGCAAGUUUCUUGCCUUAAAUAUCUUUUAUGAUUUAUCAAGAAGAAAAACAAACAUG
Cyanistes caeruleus (blue tit) is the source of this 698-nucleotide non-coding RNA. The record is from RefSeq and is a predicted model, not a curated record. NCBI's taxonomy places the organism in Eukaryota, Metazoa, Chordata, Aves, Passeriformes, Paridae.